Molecule: ribosomal RNA, 253 nt
Filed under: uncultured bacterium
Lineage: Bacteria
Description: partial 16S ribosomal RNA
Rfam family: Bacterial small subunit ribosomal RNA
Source: RNAcentral
UACAGAGGUCUCAAGCGUUGUUCGGAUUCAUUGGGCGUAAAGGGUGCGUAGGCGGCGCGGUAAGUCGGGUGUGAAAUCUCGGAGCUUAACUCCGAAACUGCAUUCGAUACUGCCGUGCUUGAGGACUGGAGAGGAGACUGGAAUUUACGGUGUAGCGGUGAAGUGCGUAGAUAUCGAUAGGAACUCCGGUGGCGAAGGCGGCAUACUGGACCACCUCUGACGCUGAGGCGCGAAAGCCAGGGGAGCAAACGGG